Populus euphratica (Euphrates poplar) is the source of this 924-nucleotide long non-coding RNA. RefSeq lists it as uncharacterized. The transcript is spliced from 2 exons. The record is from RefSeq and is a predicted model, not a curated record. NCBI's taxonomy places the organism in Eukaryota, Viridiplantae, Streptophyta, Magnoliopsida, Malpighiales, Salicaceae.
AGGUUGAAAUCAGGUUAAAUCGUAAAAAUCGGAUGAAAUCGCGUAACAUCGCGAUUUCAGGACCGAUUUUGCGAUUGUGCCAAAAUAAGGUGCCGAAAUAAAAUCCCCCUCUCUUGUCCAGCUGUCAAGCACCUAUUGCAUUUUUUUGCACAGUCACGGACUCACAUGACUCUCUUCACUUUAGUGAAUUAAUUCAUUGCCUUCAAUCUUCACAAAUCACAAAGCAGAAAAUACUCUUCCCAAGUUUCCCAGCUGAACAAAUCCCUAAUCGGCAACCAUAACAACGGCGACAACGAUCUCCAUCCUCCACAAAAGCGGUCAAUGACAGUGCUUACAGUCCAGUGACUCAGUUUUCACUCCUUCUUUUUCCUCAGUGCUCACGGUCGCGACAACACAUGAACCAAGAUUGGUAUGUUCAAAGACCUCUACUGCAGUCUCUGAAAUUGAAGUGCUUCUUGAAUAAAAAUUGAAAUUAAGCAACGGGCCGACGACAAUCUCCUCAACAACUCACGGCUUCGGGCUUCCUCUGCAAUCUUUAUUAACAGCAGCACGCCGGCAACAAUCUCCUUUCUUUUCCAUCUUCAACAGCAGCAGGCGACAUCGGGCCUCUUCACCAGCAGCCGUUCAGCUCAUCAUCAUCAUCUUCAACAGUAGCGGGCGACACCAUAAGUUCAUUUUGCCUUCAUCAUCAUCACUGCAGUAGUAGAUUUUGCCCCUGUAAUAGAUUUGUAUUUUGCUCUGUUAAGUGUUGAGUUUAAUUGUCCGGUAAUAAAGAUUUGCAUUUUGCCCUGUUCAUUUUGCCUUCAAAAUCUUCUAAUAGAUUUGUAUUUUGCCCUGUAAUUCAUUUUGCCCAGUCCUGUAAUUUGUAUAUGUAUAAUGUUGAAUUGAAUGGAAUUGAUCGGGUGAGAAAAUUGUUGAAUUGAA